This 305-nucleotide ribosomal RNA is filed under the name uncultured bacterium. Its description in RNAcentral is "bacterial SSU rRNA". It matches the Rfam family "Bacterial small subunit ribosomal RNA", at positions 335 to 637 of the family's 1533-position model. The record is from RNAcentral.
UAUCCUACGGGGGGCAGCAGUGAGGAAUAUUGGUCAAUGGGAGAGAUCCUGAACCAGCCAAGCCGCGUGAGGGAAGACGGCCCUAUGGGUUGUAAACCUCUUUUGUCGGAGAACAAAACCCGGGACGUGUCCCGGACUGCGUGUAUCCGAAGAAAAAGCAUCGGCUAACUCCGUGCCAGCAGCCGCGGUAAUACGUAUGGAGCAAGCGUUAUCCGGAUUUACUGGGUGUAAAGGGAGCGUAGGCGGCCCUGUAAGUCUGAUGUGAGAAUUUGGGGCUCAACCCCAAACGUGCAUUGGACACUGCG